Siniperca chuatsi (mandarin fish) is the source of this 1281-nucleotide long non-coding RNA. RefSeq lists it as uncharacterized. The transcript is spliced from 4 exons. Lineage: Eukaryota; Metazoa; Chordata; Actinopteri; Centrarchiformes; Sinipercidae. The record is from RefSeq and is a predicted model, not a curated record.
CUUAGUUCGUUGAAAAAGAGAAAUGUGAAUUUAGAAGGUGACGGUUGUAUUUUUCUGUUUAAUAAGGAAAAUAGGUGUGAGAAUAUUUCCUUUGAUGACAUUGUGUGAGUUUAUUUUGUUUAUUUAUUAGACUAAAAAAUCUAAGAGAGCUUGUGUAACGUAGCAAACUCGCUGCUGGCACACAUCUCCCAGCUAGAACUACCUGAGCUGUACUGUCGGACUAUCGCCUCUUGAGGCACAAGUGGUAUUACAACACAGGACGGGCCGGGGCUAGCAGGUCCCCUGACUCUCCAGUGCAGGAAACAGUGUGUGGUUUUUGUAUUAGGGUUUUUCACUGUGAUGGGCUGGUCGGCACGGUGAUAUAGAUCCAUACAAAAACCUAAGAGCAGUAAUCUGACACUCUCCCUUUCUUGUGAUGGAAAAAAAGGACAGGACAAAAUAUUUCUCAUUGGAAUAUGAGGUUUUUGUACAAGCAGUGAGUGGAGAUGCAGCACUGUGAUGCUUUCGACUACUGGGGUCGUGGGACUGAAGUCACAGUAUCUUCAGGUGAAGAGACGGUAGAGGAUGAGAUGGAUGCACAGCGCAGACGACUACAGGUCUUCAUUUGUUUUUUGUCUUUUUUAAAACAUGUACAUUAUCGAUGAUCUACUGUACAUCUGCUAAAUGAAAUGGUCGUCAUAUAUAAUGAUUAACUAAACACUGAAAAUAGAUUUCUCUGUAACCUGUAGAAAAAUCUAAAAUACAACUGCAAUUGUUGAUAUGAAUACAUUUGGAUUGUUGUUACAUUAUGAUUACAGAGGUUCUUGAUUACUUUUCAUUAAAAUGUGUUAGUGAAGUGUAGCAUUAACUUGUCAUUGAUAUGUAAAUAACAAAUUGUACUGUAGUAGAAACAGAAAUCUUUGCUUUUCAUUUUUGGUCAUUUUGUUGAUCAUAUUUGCUUUCAUCAUUAAUUCGGUAGAUAUGAUACUUACAAUAGAUGAGAUUUGUACAGACACAAACAUUAAAGGGAGUUUGAAUAUGAGUCAUAGUAUGCUUGUGAUCAACAUAAAAAGCUUCUGAGGAUUUUGUUCACAACAUCUAAAAUAACACCACAUCAAGUCAACGUACCGUAAACUUCUGUUAUCAGUUUAAGCUCUGAAGGUUUUUCAAUUUCCUGGAGUUUCUAAACAUAUCAUCUUUAGAGAGUCACUUCCCCUCUCUCUGCACCUCUGGGACCACACCUGUAGCAGUGAAACUUUGUAGAAACCGUCAGAGCUACGAAUAAACUUCCUCGAAGCAAGA